AACGAACGCUGGCGGCAUGCCUAACACAUGCAAGUCGAACGAGACCUUCGGGUCUAGUGGCGCACGGGUGCGUAACGCGUGGGAACCUGCCCUUAGGUUCGGAAUAACUCCCCGAAAGGGGUGCUAAUACCGGAUAAUGUCUUCGGACCAAAGAUUUAUCGCCUUUGGAUGGGCCCGCGUUGGAUUAGCUAGUUGGUAGGGUAAAAGCCUACCAAGGCGACGAUCCAUAGCUGGCCUGAGAGGAUGAUCAGCCACACUGGGACUGAGACACGGCCCAGACUCCUACGGGAGGCAGCAGUGGGGAAUAUUGGACAAUGGGCGAAAGCCUGAUCCAGCAAGGCCGCGUGAGUGAUGAAGGCCUUAGGGUUGUAAAGCUCUUUUACCCGGGAUGAUAAUGACAGUACCGGGAGAAUAAGCUCCGGCUAACUCCGU
This 432-nucleotide ribosomal RNA is filed under the name uncultured bacterium. Its description in RNAcentral is "partial 16S ribosomal RNA". It matches the Rfam family "Bacterial small subunit ribosomal RNA", at positions 29 to 506 of the family's 1533-position model. The record is from RNAcentral.